RNAcentral lists this ribosomal RNA (498 nucleotides) under uncultured bacterium. RNAcentral describes it as "partial 16S ribosomal RNA". It matches the Rfam family "Bacterial small subunit ribosomal RNA", at positions 30 to 523 of the family's 1533-position model. The record is from RNAcentral.
AUUGAACGCUGGCGGCAUGCCUUACACAUGCAAGUCGAACGGUAACAGGUCUUCGGAUGCUGACGAGUGGCGAACGGGUGAGUAAUACAUCGGAACGUGCCUAGUAGUGGGGGAUAACUACUCGAAAGAGUGGCUAAUACCGCAUGAGAUCUACGGAUGAAAGCAGGGGAUCGCAAGACCUUGUGCUACUAGAGCGGCCGAUGGCAGAUUAGGUAGUUGGUGGGAUAAAAGCUUACCAAGCCGACGAUCUGUAGCUGGUCUGAGAGGACGAUCAGCCACACUAGGACUGGGACACGGCCCAGACUCCUACGGGAGGCAGCAGUGGGGAAUUUUGGACAAUGGGCGCAAGCCUGAUCCAGCAAUGCCGCGCGCAGGAUGAAGGCCUUCGGGUUGUAAACUGCUUUUGUACGGAACGAAAAGCCCUGGGUUAAUACCCUGGGGUCAUGACGGUACCGUAAGAAUAAGCACCGGCUAACUACGUGCCAGCCGCCGCAGUAA